RNAcentral lists this ribosomal RNA (470 nucleotides) under uncultured bacterium. Its description in RNAcentral is "partial 16S ribosomal RNA". It matches the Rfam family "Bacterial small subunit ribosomal RNA", at positions 28 to 523 of the family's 1533-position model. The record is from RNAcentral.
GACGAACGCUGGCGGCGUGCCUAACACAUGCAAGUCGAGCGAGGGACUUCGGUCUCUAGCGGCGGACGGGUGAGUAACACGUGGGUAACCUGCCUCAUAGUGGGGGAUAGCCUUCCGAAAGGAAGAUUAAUACCGCAUAUACUCUCGGUAUCGCAUGAUACUUAGAGGAAAGGAGCAAUCCGCUAUGAGAUGGACCCGCGGCGCAUUAGCUAGUUGGUGAGGUAACGGCUCACCAAGGCCACGAUGCGUAGCCGACCUGAGAGGGUGAUCGGCCACAUUGGAACUGAGACACGGUCCAGACUCCUACGGGAGGCAGCAGUGGGGAAUAUUGCACAAUGGGCGAAAGCCUGAUGCAGCAACGCCGCGUGAGUGAUGAAGGCCUUCGGGUUGUAAAGCUCUGUCUUUUGGGACGAUAAUGACGGUACCAAAGGAGGAAGCCACGGCUAACUACGUGCCAGCCGCCGCGGUAA